GCAUGUUUGGAAAAAUAAAAAUAACAAUAAAAUAAAAAAAGGAUGAAAUUACAUGAAGUACUAGAAAGGUGCCCUUCUAUUCAGCUCCAUUCAAGCACCCGUAGUUUCCUACUUUUCCACCUUGGGGGAUUAUAGAAUGGACCUUUCAAGGAAAGUAAUUAUCCAGAUAGACACGACAUACAUUUAGAAUCAAAUUGCCAUGGUACUGAUUUAGCGGCCAUAGGGGUGGUCACGGUUCAGGAAUCACCGGUUUAGAUUCAAUGAAAUCAUGAACCUCAACCUGAAUCUGAACCAAACCGCCAGGGAACGGUUUGGAAGACGGUUCCUGAAC
Molecule: unclassified non-coding RNA, 331 nt
Filed under: Hevea brasiliensis (rubber tree)
Lineage: Eukaryota; Viridiplantae; Streptophyta; Magnoliopsida; Malpighiales; Euphorbiaceae
Source: RNAcentral